Molecule: transfer RNA, 76 nt
Filed under: Oscillospiraceae bacterium
Lineage: Bacteria; Bacillati; Bacillota; Clostridia; Eubacteriales; Oscillospiraceae
Also listed under: 1 other name
Description: tRNA-Ala
Rfam family: tRNA
About the family: Transfer RNA (tRNA) molecules are approximately 80 nucleotides in length. Their secondary structure includes four short double-helical elements and three loops (D, anti-codon, and T loops).
Source: RNAcentral
GGGGGUGUAGCUCAGCUGGGAGAGCACCUGCUUUGCAAGCAGGGGGUCAGCGGUUCGAUCCCGCUCAUCUCCACCA